AGCCUGAUGCAGCAACGCCGCGUGCGGGAUGACGGCCUUCGGGUUGUAAACCGCUUUUAGUAAGGAAGAAGGGGAGCUUGCUCCUUGACGGUACUUGCAGAAAAAGGACCGGCUAACUACGUGCCAGCAGCCGCGGUAAUACGUAGGGUCCGAGCGUUGUCCGGAAUUAUUGGGCGUAAAGAGCUCGUAGGCGGUUUGUCGCGUCUGCUGUGAAAUCCCGAGGCUCAACCUCGGGUCUGCAGUGGGUACGGGCAGACUGGAGUGCGGUAGGGGAGAAUGGAAUUCCUGGUGUAGCGGUGGAAUGCGCAGAUAUCAGGAGGAACACCGAUGGCGAAGGCAGUUCUCUGGGCCGUAACUGACGCUGAGGAGCGAAAGCGUGGGGAGCGAACAGGAUUAGAUACCCUGGUAGUCCACGCCGUAAACGUUGGGCGCUAGAUGUGGGGACCUUUCCACGGUUUCCGUGUCGUAGCUAACGCAUUAAGCGCCCCGCCUGGGGAGUACGGCCGCAAGGCUAAAACUCAAAGGAAUUGACGGGGGCCCGCACAAGCGGCGGAGCAUGCGGAUUAAUUCGAUGCAACGCGAAGAACCUUACCAAGGCUUGACAUAACCGAGAACGCCGCAGAAAUGUGGAACUCUU
Molecule: ribosomal RNA, 637 nt
Filed under: Agromyces sp. So2Ps_1635
Lineage: Bacteria; Bacillati; Actinomycetota; Actinomycetes; Micrococcales; Microbacteriaceae
Description: bacterial SSU rRNA
Rfam family: Bacterial small subunit ribosomal RNA
Source: RNAcentral